This 301-nucleotide ribosomal RNA is filed under the name uncultured bacterium. RNAcentral describes it as "partial 16S ribosomal RNA". It matches the Rfam family "Bacterial small subunit ribosomal RNA", at positions 509 to 807 of the family's 1533-position model. The record is from RNAcentral.
CAGUCGCCACGGUAAUACGUAGGUGGCAAGCGUUGUCCGGAAUUAUUGGGCGUAAAGGGCUCGCAGGCGGUUUCUUAAGUCUGAUGUGAAAGCCCCCGGCUCAACCGGGGAGGGUCAUUGGAAACUGGGAAACUUGAGUGCAAAAGAGGAGAGUGGAAUUCCACGUGUAGCGGUGAAAUGCGUAGAGAUGUGGAGGAACACCAGUGGCGAAGGCGACUCUCUGGUCUGUAACUGACGCUGAGGAGCGAAAGCGUGGGGAGCGAACAGGAUUAGAUACCCCCGUAGUCCCUGUCUCUUAUAC